GCAAGCGCCGCCGUGAAGGUAUGGCACCGGUUUGUAAAACCGAAACUCCGAGGAGUUAGUGGAUUCGAUCCCCACCGCUUGCACCA
RNAcentral lists this transfer RNA (86 nucleotides) under Granulicella aggregans. Its description in RNAcentral is "tRNA-Tyr". It matches the Rfam family "tRNA". From Rfam's summary of the family: Transfer RNA (tRNA) molecules are approximately 80 nucleotides in length. Their secondary structure includes four short double-helical elements and three loops (D, anti-codon, and T loops). Lineage: Bacteria; Pseudomonadati; Acidobacteriota; Terriglobia; Terriglobales; Acidobacteriaceae. The record is from RNAcentral.